GAUCCCCUGAGCAAUCGAAAGCACUUUAUAGAUUUCUUUGUGGGAAUCACAGCCAGUGCAAGAAGCACCUGGGACUAGGCAACCAGAUUGGCCAGAGGAAUCCAGGAG
This 108-nucleotide long non-coding RNA is filed under the name Chinchilla lanigera (long-tailed chinchilla). Its description in RNAcentral is "lncRNA (ENSCLAG00000028231.1)". The record is from RNAcentral. Lineage: Eukaryota; Metazoa; Chordata; Mammalia; Rodentia; Chinchillidae.